UAACAAGGCACAUGCCUUGUUUGCUUCACGGUCAAACAAGUCCUGCAGGACUACUAACGGGAACAGCAUUCCUGCUGUGGAAAAAGUGCAGGAACGCUGUUCCCACGCGUUCAUGUAGGACUCGAGCCCUGCCUACAUGUUAUUAUAUCGUUAAAGUGCCAGAACAAUGUUACUGCUGGCAUGGCUUGGCUAUUGUGACACUACUAUAUUCAAGGACAUUGUGCAGCAAAGCACAAAUCUAAAGGAUGUGUGUUGUCUACUUUCACGAGCAAAGGAAUUUGGUAUCAAACUAGCUCAAUCUUAAAUUGGGACUUUUUUUUCCAUAAUCAACACUCUUAAUGCUGGUUAAGUGUUCAUUGAAAACCAUCUUAUACAAGUCUGCAUCAAGCAAACAAGAUGGCUUUUUAAAGUAGAUGCAAUAUAUCACAUAUUUGACUAAUAAUUAACAACAUAUAGGUUAACUUGAAUCAGCUCUAUGGACCUGUAGAAACAUUAACUGAAAAUCAAGCAUAAAUUAUCAGAUAUUAUGUUCUGACAAAAGGGAAUUAUAAUUUAGAACAAUAAAAAUAACAAAUAAAUAUCAAAUUACCAUAGUGAGAAACAAAACAUAUUAAUUACCUCCCUUCUUAAUGCCAUGUCACCAAGCGACCUA
Molecule: non-coding RNA, 652 nt
Organism: Pelobates cultripes (western spadefoot toad)
Lineage: Eukaryota; Metazoa; Chordata; Amphibia; Anura; Pelobatidae
Source: the annotation of a GenBank genome assembly